RNAcentral lists this transfer RNA (64 nucleotides) under Coccinella transversoguttata. RNAcentral's name for it is "tRNA-Ser". Lineage: Eukaryota; Metazoa; Arthropoda; Insecta; Coleoptera; Coccinellidae. The record is from RNAcentral.
AACUAAUGAGCUUGUAAAAGCAUAUAUUUUGAAAAUAUAAGAAAGAAUAAAAUUCUAUUAGUUU